RNAcentral lists this ribosomal RNA (484 nucleotides) under uncultured bacterium. RNAcentral's name for it is "partial 16S ribosomal RNA". It matches the Rfam family "Bacterial small subunit ribosomal RNA", at positions 30 to 507 of the family's 1533-position model. The record is from RNAcentral.
AUUGAACGCUGGCGGCAGGCCUAACACAUGCAAGUCGAGCGGAUGAAGGGAGCUUGCUCCUGGAUUCAGCGGCGGACGGGGGAGUAAUGCCUAGGAAUCUGCCUGGUAGUGGGUGAUAACGUCCGGAAACGGCCGCUAAUACUGCAUACGUCCUGAGCGAGAAAGUGGGGGAUCUUCGGACCUCACGCUCUCAGAUGAGCCUAGGUCGGAUUAGCUAGUUGGUGGGGUAAAGGCCUACCAAGGCGACGAUCCGUAACUGGUCUGAGAGGCUGAUCAGUCACACUGGAACGGAGACACGGUCCAGAGUACUACGGGAGGCAGCAGUGGGGAAUAUUGGACAAUGGGCGAAAGCCUGAUCCAGCCAUGCCGCGUGUGUGAAGACGGUCUUCGGAUUGUAAAGACCUUUAUGUUGGGAGGAAGCGCAGUAAGUUAAUACCUUGCUGUUUUGACGUUACCAACAGAAUAAGCACCGGCUAACUUCGUA